GAAAUUUUUUGAUUUAAAGUCUGUCUGGUUUUAUUAGUGUUACUCGCUUAUAAUUACAGGUUUUUUGAUGAUUAUAGAGCAAGCUGAUAUCUGGAAUACGCACAACAGUAAUUACAUUUUUUUAAUAGUACAAAAUUGUUUUAAUUUUAUCCUUGAAAAUAUUUCAUGAUUUAAUUAAUAUACUUAGUUCUUGGAGCAUAUAAUCGAAAUUACUUAGCUUAAAGAAGAAGAAGCAAAGCGACAGAUGCCAUAAUGGUUGAUACUCAUUUUUUAACUCCCCUUCAGUUACUUCUUGUUGCAAAUUAUAGACAGAUGAUUCUUCAGCUGCUCAAUAAAUUUAAUAGUUUUAGUGAUUGCAAAGAUCAGUCUUCUUUUUUGAAAGGGUAUUAAUUAGAAUUGACAAAAGAUUUCAGGUUUAUUAUUACAAUGAAACAACUUUCUUCAUCUUCUUGGGCUUUUUUCUCCUAAAUUUCGUCCAAGUACUAAAUUUUAGGUAAAUUUCUAUCAGUGCGCUUAAACCAACUUUAAUAACUUAAUUUGUACCUAUCUUCGACAUGGUGAUGAGAAUUGCAAGUUCAAGAUUUCGAGCAGAAUUACCCUCUAUAGGCCUUUUAUGUUGCUAAAAUUAUAACAUAAGUACUUUUGCACCUAAUCGUAUCAUCAAUCAUCUUUGAUGAAUUUUCUUGCCUGCAAACCUCAAAAGCGAUAGAAGAACAAAAGAAUCAGUUUUAUCUCCAACUGCUAUGUUUAGAUUCUCUAUUAUAAUGCGACGAUAGAUACAAAUUUACAAGAUAAAUAAUUUUACAUUACGAAUAUUUGAAGCAAUCUGCCUCUGUAAGCUCAACUGUAAACUUCAUGGUUUAAGGUGAAAAAAGACAUCUUUUUUUAUAUAUCAUUAUGUAUACACACAGUCUGUCCCUAUGAAACUAUCAAUCGGGAUUAUUAACCAUUGUUUCCGUUUCUCGAUACAGGAUAUUGAAAAUUAUCUAACAGUUUUGCUUCCUUGGGCACUAAGAGACCUUUUACUAAAGAAAAACCCAUCAAAUAUUAGACCUUGUAGAUUAGUAAAAUUAAUAAAAAUAAGCAUCUCUCUUGAAACCAUCUCAAGAGAUAAUCUGCUUCUGCUUGCGUAUUAUAAAGUUACCUUCA
This is a non-coding RNA of Schizosaccharomyces pombe (fission yeast), 1149 nucleotides long. The record is from the annotation of a GenBank genome assembly. NCBI's taxonomy places the organism in Eukaryota, Fungi, Ascomycota, Schizosaccharomycetes, Schizosaccharomycetales, Schizosaccharomycetaceae.